This 460-nucleotide ribosomal RNA is filed under the name uncultured bacterium. RNAcentral describes it as "partial 16S ribosomal RNA". It matches the Rfam family "Bacterial small subunit ribosomal RNA", at positions 338 to 795 of the family's 1533-position model. The record is from RNAcentral.
CCUACGGGAGACAGCAGUGAGGAAUAUUGGUCAAUGGACGAGAGUCUGAACCAGCCAAGUAGCGUGAAGGAUGACUGCCCUAUGGGUUGUAAACUUCUUUUAUAUGGGAAUAAAAUGUUCCACGUGUGGGAUUUUGUAUGUACCAUAUGAAUAAGGAUCGGCUAACUCCGUGCCAGCAGCCGCGGUAAUACGGAGGAUCCGAGCGUUAUCCGGAUUUAUUGGGUUUAAAGGGAGCGUAGGUGGAUUGUUAAGUCAGUUGUGAAAGUUUGCGGCUCAACCGUAAAAUUGCAGUUGAAACUGGUAGUCUUGAGUACAGUAGAGGUGGGCGGAAUUCGUGGUGUAGCGGUGAAAUGCUUAGAUAUCACGAAGAACUCCGAUUGCGAAGGCAGCUCACUGGACUGCAACUGACACUGAGGCUCGAAAGUGUGGGUAUCAAACAGGAUUAGAUACCCGAGUAGUC